AUAACUAUAACAUUGAAAGGUAGAAUGAUAGGGUAACGCCUUGAAAUGCCUUCUCAAAGGUUACGGCUAGCGUCUUAGUUGUCAAUGAUUAAGAGGUUAGAAGCCCGUUAAAGUGGCUGAGAGCUACCCUAACUUACUGUAGUAAUAUGGUAAGAGGAAAUGCGAACUAGAGGUAGUCGAGUAGUGAUAGGCCAGAGUCCUAUAA
Molecule: non-coding RNA, 205 nt
Filed under: uncultured Clostridium sp.
Lineage: Bacteria; Bacillati; Bacillota; Clostridia; Eubacteriales; Clostridiaceae
Source: RNAcentral